GCCCGUGUAGCUCAGUUGGAAGAGCAGCUCAUUCGUAAUGAGCAGGUCCGGGGUUCAAUUCCCCGCGCGGGCU
RNAcentral lists this transfer RNA (73 nucleotides) under Actinomycetes bacterium. Its description in RNAcentral is "Actinobacteria bacterium (marine metagenome) tRNA-Thr". It matches the Rfam family "tRNA". Rfam says of the family: Transfer RNA (tRNA) molecules are approximately 80 nucleotides in length. Their secondary structure includes four short double-helical elements and three loops (D, anti-codon, and T loops). Further hydrogen bonds mediate the characteristic L-shaped molecular structure. tRNAs have two regions of fundamental functional importance: the anti-codon, which is responsible for specific mRNA codon recognition, and the 3' end, to which the tRNAs corresponding amino acid is attached (by aminoacyl-tRNA synthetases). tRNAs cope with the degeneracy of the genetic code in two manners: having more than one tRNA (with a specific anti-codon) for a particular amino acid; and 'wobble' base-pairing, i.e. permitting non-standard base-pairing at the 3rd anti-codon position. The record is from RNAcentral. RNAcentral also lists the same sequence under 3 other names. Lineage: Bacteria; Bacillati; Actinomycetota; Actinomycetes.